GGAGGGAUGGCAGAGCGGUUGAUUGCAGCUGUCUUGAAAACAGCCGGGGGUGCAAGCUCCUCGGGGGUUCGAAUCCCUCUCCCUCCGCCA
Molecule: transfer RNA, 90 nt
Filed under: Chloroflexota bacterium
Lineage: Bacteria; Bacillati; Chloroflexota
Description: tRNA-Ser
Rfam family: tRNA
About the family: Transfer RNA (tRNA) molecules are approximately 80 nucleotides in length. Their secondary structure includes four short double-helical elements and three loops (D, anti-codon, and T loops).
Source: RNAcentral